Molecule: long non-coding RNA, 1064 nt
Organism: Diabrotica virgifera virgifera (western corn rootworm)
Lineage: Eukaryota; Metazoa; Arthropoda; Insecta; Coleoptera; Chrysomelidae
Exons: 2
Source: RefSeq, a predicted model, not a curated record
AAUUUAAUCAAAAUAUAAUUUUGCAUUUUUUCAUUUUUUGCAAUUAGGGAAUCCAUCGACCUGUCAAAGUUAAAUCACGUGAUCUUUGGUUGGCACACAAAACUGUUCUUAACCUAAACUCAAUGUAAUUAUUGAUUUUUCUUAUUUGUUUUUUGUCGUGAUUUUGAGGUAGUAUAGUAUUUAAAGACAUUCAUUAGAUUAAUUAUUUUAUAAACUUUACGUUUUUGGUGAUUUUGAGUGCUGACAACAUGCCUGUGACUUGUAUAUUAGUGAACUGUGGAAGUCCAACUGAUCGGGAUAAUGUUAAUUUUAAUUUGUUUUUUGUCCUGAUUUUGAGCUAAUAUAGUAUUUAAAGACAUUCAUUAGAUUAAUUAUUUUAUAAACUUUACGUUCUUGGUGAUUUUGAGUGCUGACAACAUGCCUGUCACUUGUAUAAUAGUGAACUGUGCAAUGAACUGUGCAAGUCCAACUGAUCAGAAUAAUGUUAAUUUUAAUUUGUUUUUUGUCGUGAUUUUGAGCUUAAUAUAGUAUUUAAAGACAUUCAUUAGAUUAAUUAUUUUAUAAACUUUUCGUUUGUGGUGAUUUUAAGUGCUGAAAACAUGCCUGUAAUCUGUAUAGUAGUGAACUGUGGAAGUCGAGCUGAUCGGAUAAUGUUAAUUUUUUUCGUGUUCCCUCUAUAGGGCUUUUUAUUCACAGUCAUUUGUUUUGAGCUUCUGUCAUAUGUCGUAUAAUCCGUGUAUAGUAAUAUUAUACACGGAUUAUACAACAUCUGACAGAAGCUCGAAACAAAUGACAAUCGAUGAAAACGUAUUAGAAACUCAUUUAUGUUUCCUCACCUAACUAAAUUGUCAAAUAACAGGACGCACUCAUGCUAGGAAUUAUGGUUUUUAUUAAUAUUAUUACAAUUAUUUAUAUGUGACACUAACGUAACUAGUGACAUUCAUUUUUAGGCCAAUGUGACAAACUUUAUUAAUACUAAAUUUUAACAUUUAUCCCCUAUUUUGUUAAAACAAUAUUAUUUUGUUUUUCAUUCUAUUCAAAAUAAAUGCAGUUUUGACAGGGAA